UACCACUGUUUGCCUAUUGAACCAAAUUUUGCGGAGAAACUGGACUAUUUUUAGUUCACAUAUCAAACCAACCCAGAAAACUCUGAAAAUUUACAGGCUCUUUAUACCUCAUUUCACUAGUUCCUGUGUCAAUUUUCGAAGUUGUUUGACAUUGUUUGCCUAGCAAACCAAAAUUUGGCGACAGACCUGAUCAAAUUUAGUUCAC
Molecule: unclassified non-coding RNA, 205 nt
Filed under: Hevea brasiliensis (rubber tree)
Lineage: Eukaryota; Viridiplantae; Streptophyta; Magnoliopsida; Malpighiales; Euphorbiaceae
Source: RNAcentral